Molecule: ribosomal RNA, 306 nt
Filed under: uncultured bacterium
Lineage: Bacteria
Description: partial 16S ribosomal RNA
Rfam family: Bacterial small subunit ribosomal RNA
Source: RNAcentral
GACAGCAGCAGCCACGGGAAUACAGAGGGUGCGAGCGUUAAUCGGAUUUACUGGGCGUAAAGCGUGCGUAGGCGGCUUUUUAAGUCGGAUGUGAAAUCCCUGAGCUUAACUUAGGAAUUGCAUUCGAUACUGGGAAGCUAGAGUAUGGGAGAGGAUGGUAGAAUUCCAGGUGUAGCGGUGAAAUGCGUAGAGAUCUGGAGGAAUACCGAUGGCGAAGGCAGCCAUCUGGCCUAAUACUGACGCUGAGGUACGAAAGCAUGGGGAGCAAACAGGAUUAGAUACCCCUGAGUCCCUGUCUCUUAUACA